Molecule: long non-coding RNA, 7804 nt
Filed under: Malus domestica (apple)
Lineage: Eukaryota; Viridiplantae; Streptophyta; Magnoliopsida; Rosales; Rosaceae
Description: long non-coding RNA (MDOM_LNC011411)
Source: RNAcentral
GAAGAGUGUUUGAUGGUUGGGGAGUGGUAGAGAACUAGGCAAAGAGGGUGGAAGAAGGUGGAGUGGCUUUUAUGUUUUCUAGGCACUAGAAUGGUGUUUUUGGGGUGUUUUGCUUCCUAGGGUGUGUAUGGACGAAUUUUCUGUGAUAAAAUGAUGAAUAUCGGGGAUUGUCCUUUGGCCAAGGGGUGUAAACAUGUAUUUAUAGGCCCCAAAAACCUUAGAAAAUCAGGUUAGGUUAAGGAUGAAAUGCAUGGUAAUUUGUGUGUGUGGUGUGCAAUGGUCCAAGGGUGAAAAUGAAGUGAUGAUGCAAAGUGUGAAGGGUAAAAUGGAGUGGUCUUGAAGCUAGGGAGCAUGAAUGAUUGUGUACAUUGCAUAGAGAUGGAAAGGGAGGUGAAAAUGUGUCAAUAAAUGGGUCAAAGGUGCAGCAACAUGUGGUACACAAGGCAUGGGAUUCUAAAUGUGAAUGAUGGAGCAUCAAUUGGUGCAUGUAAUGGAUGUAAAUGUUGUCUAAAAUCUAAUGAGUGAAGGGAACAAGAGGUAACAAGCAAUUGAGUGUAAUAAUUAAAUGAAUUGAAGCAUGAAAUUAAAAAUUAUGUAGGGGACAAGAGUGAUCAAGCAUGGCAUGGAAUCCAAAGGGAAUUCUAUGUGGUUUGCAUGGCAAGGAAUGCAAGUUGGGGUGACAGAUUUUUGGGCUAUUUUCUUCAUCUUUUGGACCAUAAUUCUUCAUAUUCUUGGCCUCUUUAGUUCUCAAAUUCGUCCAUCCACUUGGCCCAUGCAUUUGCUAUCCAUUCCAAGCCCGAAACAUGCUCCAAAGGCCUCCAAAAUGCAUCUUCUUGCAUACUUUGUACUUAGAGUCUGAAAACACAUGAAAAUGACUUUAAACAUUAAAAUAACUAAGGAAACACGACAUAAAUGCACAAAAACAAGCCAACUAAGUCACAUAAAUAUGCUCCUAUCAAAUUCCCCCACACUUAGCUUUUGCUAGUCCUCGAGCAAAACAAAGAGAUAAAACGAAACAAAACAAAUAAAACACAACCUAAACCUUCCAACAUUUGCCUCAGGGAUUUCCAAUGCACAUGACAUGUUAAAAAUCAUUAUCCCCACAGAUUUGAGUCAUCUUCACACUUAAGCACGUACUUAAUCAUAGUCACCACUUACUUGUUCACAAUUAAUCGAUUAAAAAUAACGUUUUUGAUGUAGUAACAUGCCUUAGAAAAAAUCACUCAAUUCCUUACAAGAUAUGCACUCAAUUUUCACUCAGAUUUUCUAACUACACACCCUAUACUAGUUAUAUGUGAGAAGAUUGAUGUAGAUAUGAAAACGAACGCUCACAUAUAUGUAUCACAAAGAAAGCAAUUUCUGGAGUUAAUAAGCAUGUUUAGAUAUGAUCUCAUGAAUGGAAUGCUACUACUUAGAUGCGAGAACCAGUGACACCAUAUGCUCAUACCAAAUUCAAACUCCACAUAUUGAAACGCAUGACACUCAAGAUGAAGUUAAGGGUUGUAACGGGGCUUGGGGUGAUGGCUAACAAAUGAAGGAUAAGGAUAACAAUCGUUCUUAAAGCAAUAGCAAGUAAAGUAAUGAAAUUGAAACUUAGAAUUCACUUAGAUUGCAGAAAUCAGCUUUUAGACACAAAGGGAAAAUUCAGGCAAUAAUUAGGGCCGAAUUCUAUGUUUUGGACUCUUUCUUCAACAAGCAGCACUUUAAAAACUUUUUUUUUUUUUUUUUUUUUUCUCAACUCUUCUUUUCUUUUCAACAAGCAUAAUAACUCACACUUCCCCCACACUUGUUUUCUGCCAUACAUUAAUCAAAACAAAUUCAAUUUGAAUCAUGUUUUACUAUGCUUCAAGAACAAGGGUAUGGAUGGUCCUAAACUAGGCUAGGUAAGGAUAAUGUGGUUUAACAAAGAAUGUAGGCUAUCAAGGCUCAAUGGGGUUAACUUAAACAUAUAACGAUAUGGGAUACAUGGCAGUUUGGCUUUUGGUGGUGGUAACUACACAACUUCAUCUUGAAUAUGUUUUAUGCAAAUCAAUAGCAUGCUUUGAAUGAAAUAGGCAUGAGUUCUAGCAUUUGGAACUAAAUGAUGAAACGCCUUCUAAGUAAUAACCAAGCAAAGAAUAAUGAGAUCAUGCAACGACUUUAGAAAACAAGAAUGCACAGAUUUUAACUCUCCAAAUAAACGUUUAAGCUCAAGUCUCACAAGGCUGUAGCGUUAGUUUGAGUUCUUUCCUUUAAGCAUGUUACAAAAACUAAUUUUUUUUUCUUUUAUGAUUACAUGUGAUUUCAUAAGUUAUAACCACAACCACGCAUAAAUAAAGAGUAAAUCAAACUUUCAACCAUGUUUAUAACUCUCUUUAACAGUCAUGCAAUUACAAACUGAAUCCUCAUCAUUGUGUUGGAAGGUACCCUAAGACACAAAUAAGCACACAAAAACAACUCUUUUUGGGAUUUUCAAAAAUAAUUUUUCAAAUUUUUAUGAAUUUUCGGAUUUUUAUGUCAAAACACACUGAAACACUCCAAAACAGCUUAAAAAUACUUAAAACAACAAAGAACAAUACUAGAAGUAAUGGGUGAUAAAUUUCUACGAAUUUCAUGCAAAACAAUGGUUACCCCCCCCACACUUAAAUCAAACAUUGUCCUCAAUGUUUCAAGCAUAUACUCACACCAAAAACAAGCAAAUAAUAAACGACAAAUAAACAUGACAAAUAUGGCAAAGUAAAAACCAGACAGAGUAGAGUUUAAGAACGCAAAUCUGGUUUUGGAGAUAGUUGAUCUUGUUGACUUUCCACAGCUUUGAUCUUGAACGGGGUGAUGUUGCAGUUCCUUAUUUGUUCUCCAAGCAGAUGUGGCAGCUUCUCUAGUUCUUCAGCUCGGACUCCUUGUGCUGGGUUGAUUGUACGAGCUGCAUUCUUCUCUGCUUGUUUCUUCUGUACGUUGUCUCCACAUGCUGCUGGUAUCAUUUUCGCUUGCCUUAUCUGUUCUUCAGGUAGAUGUGGCAGCUUCUUUGGAAGUACAUCAGCAGUGGAAGACGAGUACUCGAGAGCAAUUUCUCCAUGUCCUGCAGGUUAGAACAAAGACAAGGAAAAGGACAUGGAGAAUGCAUGAUAUGAGAUACUCUUGCUUUCAACCUUUAUGAUAUGAAAUACUUUUGCUCUGGAUGGGUUGUUUGCAGGGGUAUCCCAGGGAAUGAGAAAUACAUAGUGACUUGAGAGGGUGUGUUGGAAAUACAUUCUCGAAGAUGAAGAAGUGCUGAGAGGGUGUGCCUUUGCUGUGGAAGGCGAAGGUAGAUACUUAUAGGACUUUUCUUCACAACCGGAACUAUUCCCUCACUCAUUGUCGGCAGCCGGUGGAUGGAUGAAUAGUAAAAAUUACGCGCUUUCUGACAAAGCUGCCCGUAAUUUCCGCAAAGCUGCCAGUUGCAUGUGACGGGUGACGACACGUCUGGACAAUUUGAUCUUUUGAAAUUCGGUGUUCGGCUCGUGGUUUCUGAGCAAGCCCAGCCUUUAAGAAAUGAAAUGCCUCUUUUGAGAAAAGAAUCCGACUUUUGAGAAAGGAGCCCCGACUCUUCGAUUUGCGAGAGGACGCUUCUCUGAGGAGCGCCUCUUUGAUUUCUUCUUUUUAUAGAGGCGUUAAUUUUGUUCCACAACACACUUGAGCUCCCUCCUGUAAACUUCCAAAAUCUUAAUCAGUCCGACUCUCUUCUUUCUUCACCACCUUCAGAAAAUGUCUGGCCCUUCCGAUCGUCGUUUUGACUUGAACAUUGGUGAAGAGGCAGCUCCGCCUUCACCAGACAACAUAUGGCGCCCAUCUUUCAUAUCCCCUACUGGUCCUCUCACCGUUGGGGAUUCGGUGAUGAAAAAUGACAUGACCGCUGCGGUGGUGGCCCGGAACCUUGUCACCCCAAGAGAUAACAGACUGCUCGCUAGACGGUCUGAUGAAUUGGCGGUUAAGGAGUCUCUGGCUCUUAGCGUGCAGUGUGCGGGUUCUGUGUCCAACAUGGCCCAACGCCUAUUUGCUCGAACCCGUCAUGUUGAAUCGUUGGUGGCUGAAAUACAGAGUCUCAAAGAGGAGAUUAGAGGACUCAAGCAUGAAAAUAAACAAUUGCAUAAGCUUGCACACAGUUAUGCCACAAACAUGAAGAGGAAAAUUGACCAGCUGCAGGAAAAUGAUGGUCAGAUUUUACUUGAUCACCGGAGGUUUGUGGGUUUGUUCCAACCGCAUCUGCCUUCGUCUUCUGGGGCGGCACCGCGUAGUGAAGCUCCAACUGAUCAACCUCUGAUACCUCCUCCUUCCGUGGCCCCACCGACUAUUGAGACUCCGCCGACUACUGCAACUCCGCCGACUAUUGCGACCUCUCCCAAUCAACCUUUGUGAAGGCUCUUCCUCUUGUAUUAUGUUAUGUUUCUUUAUUUCCCAGAUUCCUGUUCAUUUCAUGAAGUUUAAUGUCAAAAAUCCCUUGCAUAUUUGUUAAUAUUUCAAAAUAGAAAAUCAUAACCAAAAAUAAUUAAACAAACAAAAAUAAAAAAAUGACAAUCAUGGCAAAAUAAAAAUGCAGAAAAGUGAAGGUUUUUAGAAACGCAAAACUGAUUGUAGAGCGAUUCAUAGAUCUUCCUUUUUUUGAAUACAUGGGUUGCCUCCCAAGAAGCGCUUUCUUUAACGUCUUGCAGCCGGACGAUACUUCCUUCUAAACUUGGAUAGGGCCCAUAGCAUGGAAUUGAUCCUUGAAAUGGACGGUGAUACUUGACGUGAUCCGGCAAUGGGUUUAAAUUCUAGUGUAGGUGCCUGAAUCAUCAAAAAUCAACAAGUUAGUAUAUACUAAAAUCGAAAUUGGAGAAAAUGGCUUACUUGCUUUGUCCGACAAGAAAUCAAUGACAAACACCACAUUUUUGAAAGUUUCAGGGAUAUUGGACUUGGCCAAAUUGAAUGUGAUGGUUGGGACUUGUCCCAUGUCAUAAAAUUCAACUUCUUUAGGAAUGGUUGUCUCAAGCACAUCCUCUUUGAUGCAUUCUAGACAUUCCCCAUCCACUUCUUUCUCUUGAUUCUUUGGAAAGGUUUCAAAGAUGCCUUUCUCACCCUCUUCUUCCUUGGAUUGCAUGAUCCUGCAAGGAAUAAAGACAUUUAGUGGAACGGGGUCAGGACGAAUUGAAUUUGGGCUUACCUUGGUUGUAGUGGACUGCAUAGAGAGCAUAUGGGGAUGCGGCAAGGGUGUUGGGGCUAGGGUAGGCUGCAGCAAUGGUGGUUCUUCCUUUGCCGUGGCCUUGUUAUCCUCCUCUUCUUCGAGCAGUAACUGUUCAUCCAUGUUUUGGCUUGGUUUGGACAUCUUGGGUUCAUCUCCAACCUCUAUGCCACUUUCCAAGUUGUUAGCUUCAAUAAUUUCAACAGUUGAGUCAGUUACUUCACUUUGUUCUUGCAUUUGCCCCAUGAAUUCCGCGAUCUCUCCCAUUUGAUUCUUCAAUUCGCUCAUCACUUGGGCUUGAUUUUGUGAUUCCUGCGUCAAAGAAGUUAGUACAUCAAGAAAUUGAGCACAAUCUAUUGACGAACCUGAAUUUGAUUGGAAUUGUUGCGGGGCAGGUUGUGGUGGCUGCAUAGGCGUUGUAUAGAACUCCUCAUAUGGCUGCCAAUAUUCUCCUUGUUGAGCCUCCUUGGCUUGAUUUUGUGAGCCCUGCGCCAAAGAAUUUAAUUCAUUAAGAAUUUGUUCAUAAUUUAUUGACGAACCUGAGUUUGGUUGGGUAUAUUGUGUAUAAGGUUGUGGUGGCUGAGCAGGGCUUGAAUAGAACUCAUUAUAUGGCUGCCAAUAUCCUUCGUGUUGAACUGGUUGAGGUUCCCACCACAUAGUGUUUGAAUGAUCCCUCCAAUCUGAAUUAUAUACGUGUUGGAAAACAAGUUGUUCAUUGAUUGAUUAUGAUCAUGAUAACUCUCCCAACUCCUUUGUGGAUGUUGAUCUGCUUGAUAUCCUUGCGUAUAGGACACAUCGAAUGUAGGGGUGCUUUUGUAUUGUGGUCCUUUCGAUGUACUGUGAUAAUUGAGAAGUAAGAAUUGCCAUUUGAGCUUGAAGAUUAGCAAUUGCCAUGUCUUACUUCUUUUAGUACCUGAUAUCAAAGAAAUAAAACUAAAUCAAAUAUCAUAAGUAAACAAAACAGGGUAAUUAUAAAAAAUAAAAAAUAAUAAAAUAAAAAAUAAAAAUAAAAAAUAAAAAUAAAAAUAAAAAAAUAAAAUUAAAAAAAAUAAAAAAAUAAAAUAAAAACUAAACAAUUUAAACAAGACUCAAGACAAGGGAUUAGCAACUUUGCUAAUCCCCGGCAACGGCGCCAAAAUUUGAUGCGUAAAAUAAGUUAACACACAAAAUUAAACCCUCUUUUUAUCAAUUGUAGUAAAGUAUGUAAGUAGGGAUCGUUCUAGGCCGGGGAUUAGGAGGGAUUGCUAAAUCACUUGGAAACUGACUUGAAAACGUAAAAACAAAAUUUAAAACACUAAACUAGACUCAAAGAAUGCAAAACUAUACUUUAAAAUACUUAAACAAACAUAAAACUCAAAACAGCAACCUAAUGACUCAAAACUGCCUAAAAACCACUUUCUGGGCAGUUUUGAGAACCUAACAAGAACUUGGACGAAAUUGGAUGAAAACUUGAAUCAAAACACUUAGAAACACAAAUCAAAACACUUUCUAACUAAUCUAAGACUUCAAAAUAAAGGGGGAUUUGUUUUGGACGAAAAUUGAAAACAAAACAGAAACUUUAAAACAAAACAGAUUGUAAAACGUUUUUGGAUGAAAAGGAUGGAUAAAAGGCUAGUUAGGAGGUUCUUCUCCACACAUGACACACUUGCAAACAAAAUGAUUUUUCAGUUGUUCUUUCAAUAAAUUAUGAAGACUCAACACCCCAAGUUAAUUAGAUACGCUUAAAUUAACCUUCAAGUUCUCCUUAAGUUAAUGAAUUGGAUGGAAAAGCGCAUACAACAAUUCAAAGCAUUUUCUCAAAGGUUCCUUACGUGAUGAGCACAAUAAAGAUACAAUCAAGAAUCAUGAAGCACAAUGAGAACUAUAAGUGUUGACGAGGCAUUCGUUACUAUGAUGAGCAUGAAACUAGUGCCAAGAAUUCAUUCAACGCGAUCGUUUUCAAGCGACCUUCACUACUUGUGAUUAUAAGAUUGUAACUAUUAGGUGAAACUCCCUCAUAAUCUAGCAUCAUAUUCAUGCAUGAAAACUAAGCGUGCACUCUCAAUCAACAUACACAAAUAAGUUAUCAAUCAAGUAGAUGAACGAAUUGAAUCCGCAACUUAUGAAAUAACAACUGAAUGUAAUCAAAUCAUAUUGCAAGCAUGUACAUGGUUUCGAAUCACCCCCUAACUAAGAGGGGUUUAGUUCCUCAUACUCACAAAGCAAAGAUACAUAAAAUUAGACAUUAAAAUCAAAGGAAAGAAAACACCUAAAAUGCUCCAACUUGGUAGCAAGUGCAUCCAAGAUUCCUCCUUUCCCUUGCUUGCGGCAUGAAGCUUGUGGACAGAUUUUUGGGUGGAUUUAUGGUGUAGAAUGGAUGGGGAAUUUUGUGGAAGGGUUUAGGGUGAGAGUGGAAGAGUGUUUGAUGGUUGGGGAGUGGUAGAGAACUAGGCAAAGAGGGUGGAAGAAGGUGGAGUGGCUUUUAUGUUUUCUAGGCACUAGAAUGGUGUUUUUGGGGUGUUUUGCUUCCUAGGGUGUGUAUGGACGAAUUUCUGUGAUAAAAUGAUGAAUAUCGGGGAUUGUCCUUUGGCCAAGGGGUGUAAACAUGUAUUUAUAGGCCCCAAAAACCUUAGAAAAUCAGGUUAGGUU